RNAcentral lists this ribosomal RNA (482 nucleotides) under uncultured bacterium. RNAcentral's name for it is "partial 16S ribosomal RNA". It matches the Rfam family "Bacterial small subunit ribosomal RNA", at positions 30 to 507 of the family's 1533-position model. The record is from RNAcentral.
AUUGAACGCUGGCGGCAUGCCUUACACAUGCAAGUCGAACGGUAACAGGUCUUCGGAUGCUGACGAGUGGCGAACGGGUGAGUAAUACAUCGGAACGUGCCCAGACGUGGGGGAUAACGAGGCGAAAGCUUUGCUAAUACCGCAUACGAUCUAAGGAUGAAAGCAGGGGACCGCAAGGCCUUGUGCGUUUGGAGCGGCCGAUGGCAGAUUAGGUAGUUGGUGGGAUAAAAGCUUACCAAGCCGACGAUCUGUAGCUGGUCUGAGAGGACGACCAGCCACACUGGGACUGAGACACGGCCCAGACUCCUACGGGAGGCAGCAGUGGGGAAUUUUGGACAAUGGGCGAAAGCCUGAUCCAGCAAUGCCGCGUGCAGGAUGAAGGCCUUCGGGUUGUAAACUGCUUUUGUACGGAACGAAAGGGCUCUGGCUAAUACCUGGGGCACAUGACGGUACCGUAAGAAUAAGCACCGGCUAACUACGUG